ACUUUGGAGAUAAUCGACCAAGAGGAAGAAAUCUCUGGAAAAAAAAUUGUGGCUAAAAUUUUAUCAAGAGGAAGGAUGCUGUAAGAAGUGCUGCAGCGCAUUGCAGCGCCUUGGAAUUUAAGUUUUGAGGCAUCCACCUUUUUUGAUCAAAUAGGACAAGUGGUUGGAAAUGGACGGUGGGGAAAUCUUCACAAUGUGUUUUGAAGCUUAGCCGUAUAUGAAUCUUGCAAGUUGUCAACUUGCACUAUUUUUUUUGUAUAUAAAUAAAGGAUGCAUUUGUGAAAGAAACACCAUAUUUUGAGGGUGGCUUUUAGACCCGUAAGAAUAAUUCUCAACACUUGGA
This is a long non-coding RNA of Cynara cardunculus var. scolymus (artichoke), 343 nucleotides long. RefSeq lists it as uncharacterized. The record is from RefSeq and is a predicted model, not a curated record. The transcript has 2 exons. Lineage: Eukaryota; Viridiplantae; Streptophyta; Magnoliopsida; Asterales; Asteraceae.